RNAcentral lists this ribosomal RNA (465 nucleotides) under uncultured bacterium. RNAcentral's name for it is "partial 16S ribosomal RNA". It matches the Rfam family "Bacterial small subunit ribosomal RNA", at positions 28 to 507 of the family's 1533-position model. The record is from RNAcentral.
GACGAACGCUGGCGGCGUGCUUAACACAUGCAAGUCGUACGGUAAGGCCCUUUCGGGGGUACACGAGUGGCGAACGGGUGAGUAACACGUGAGUAACCUGCCCACAACUUUGGGAUAACGCUAGGAAACUGGUGCUAAUACUGGAUACGUGCUCCUGCUGCAUGGUGGGGGUUGGAAAGCUCCGGCGGUUGUGGAUGGACUCGCGGCCUAUCAGCUUGUUGGUGGGGUAGUGGCCUACCAAGGCGGCGACGGGUAGCCGGCCUGAGAGGGUGACCGGCCACAUUGGGACUGAGAUACGGCCCAGACUCCUACGGGAGGCAGCAGUGGGGAAUAUUGCACAAUGGGCGCAAGCCUGAUGCAGCAACGCCGCGUGCGGGAUGACGGCCUUCGGGUUGUAAACCGCUUUCAGCAGGGACGAAGCUUUCUGUGACGGUACCUGCAGAAGAAGCACCGGCUAACUACGUG